This 1947-nucleotide ribosomal RNA is filed under the name Bacteroidetes bacterium HGW-Bacteroidetes-1. Its description in RNAcentral is "bacterial LSU rRNA". It matches the Rfam family "Bacterial large subunit ribosomal RNA", at positions 1 to 1939 of the family's 2925-position model. The record is from RNAcentral. Lineage: Bacteria; Pseudomonadati; Bacteroidota.
AAGAAAGUAAAUAAGGGCGUAUGGGGGAUGCCUAGGCUCUCAGAGGCGAAGAAGGACGUGAUAAGCUGCGAAAAGCUUCGGGUAGCUGCAAAUAAGCGAUAAUCCGGAGAUAUCCGAAUGGGGAAACCCCUCUGGUUGAAGGCCAGAGAUCCAUUGAAUGAUGGAGGCGAACCCGCUGAACUGAAACAUCUAAGUAAGCGGAGGAGGAGAAAACAAAAGUGAUUUCCCAAGUAGUGGCGAGCGAACGGGAAGAAGCCCAAACCUAUCAUGUUACGGCAAGGUAGGGGUUGUAGGACUGCGAUAUUGGACAUAUACAUUGUAAUAGAACACAGCUGGAAAGCUGGACCAUAGGGGGUGAUAGUCCCGUAGAUGAAAUGGUGUAUAUACCAUAGCAGUAUCCUGAGUAGGACGGGACCGGAGAAAUCCUGUCUGAAUCUGGCGGCACCAUCCGCCAAGGCUAAAUACUCCUGAGAGACCGAUAGUGAACCAGUACCGUGAGGGAAAGGUGAAAAGAACCGCGAACAGCGGAGUGAAAUAGACCCUGAAACCAUACGCUUACAAGCGGUCGGAGUCCUGCGAGAGUGGGGUGACGGCGUGCCUUUUGCAUAAUGAGCCUACGAGUUACUCCUCUCUGGCAAGGUUAACCCCGUAGACGGGGGCAGCCGAAGCGAAAGCGAGUCUGAAUAGGGCGCACAUAGUCAGAGGGGGUAGACGCGAAACUUUGUGAUCUACCCAUGGCCAGGUUGAAGUGUGGGUAACACUACAUGGAGGACCGAACCGGUUGUCGUUGAAAAGACUUCGGAUGAGCUGUGGGUAGGGGUGAAAGGCUAAUCAAACUGAGAGAUAGCUCGUACUCCCCGAAAUGCCUUUAGGGGCAGCCUCGCAUAAGAGUGUCAUAGAGGUAGAGCUACUGAUUGGGCUAGGGGGCUUCACCGCCUACCAAACCCUGACAAACUCCGAAUGCUAUGACAUGUUUUGCGGGAGUGAGGGCGUGGGUGCUAAGGUCCGCGCCCGAGAGGGAAAGAACCCAGAUCAUCAGCUAAGGUCCCCAAAUAUAUGCUAAGUUGAACUAACGAGGUCUGAUUGCACAGACAGCUAGGAUGUUGGCUUGGAAGCAGCCAUUCAUUUAAAGAGUGCGUAACAGCUCACUAGUCGAGCGAUCGGGCAUGGAUAAUAAACGGGCAUAAGCAUAUUACCGAAGCUAUGAAUUUUAACUGAUAAAGUUAGAGUGGUAGGGGAGCAUUCCAGUCAGCGUAGAAGGUUUAACGUGAGUUAAGCUGGAGCGUCUGGAAAAGCAAAUGUAGGCAUAAGUAACGAUAAUGCGGGCGAGAAACCCGCACACCGGAAGACUAAGGAUUCCUGAUCAACGUUAAUCGGAUCAGGGUUAGUCGGGGCCUAAGGCGAUGCUGCUGUAGUGGCAGUUAAGUCGAUGGACAACUGGUUAAUAUUCCAGUACUGACCGGUAUUGCGAUGGAGUGACGGAGUAGUGAAAGCAACGCCCACUGACGGAAUAGUGGGUUAAAGGGAGGUAGGUAUAGAAGAUGCAGGAAAAUCCGCAUUUUUUGCCGAGACCUGAUAGUACCGUGCGUUUUCGGACAAUCGGAUAGUUUGCGUAAUCAGACUUCCAAGAAAAACUUCUAAGCAUCAGAUACCGGCCACCCGUACCGUAAACCGACACAGGUAGUCGAGGAGAGUAUCCAAAGGUGCUCGAGUGAAUCAUGGCUAAGGAACUAGGCAAAUUAACCCUGUAACUUCGGGAGAAAGGGUUCCGUCGCAAGGCGGACGCAGAGAAAUGGCCCAGGCGACUGUUUAUCAAAAACACAUGGCUUUGCAAAAUCGUAAGAUGAAGUAUAAGGCCUGACACCUGCCCGGUGCUGGAAGGUUAAGAGGAGAUGUCAUUCGCAAGGAGAAGCAUUGAAUUGAAGCCCCAGUAAACGGCGGCCGUAA